ACAGAAUGGGCUGUGGUUGAAUGCUCCAUGGCUGGGUUGAAACGCUUGGUGAUUCGAUUUAGGUUGUUGAUGGCCAUCUUAAGCCCACUACGCUACACUGACGGUUGAGCAUCAGGGGACGUCUGUGAGCGGAGAUGAGACGCCGGAGCGUCUGGUGACCGACCCAGCAGAUGGUAGUUAAUAGUUGCAGUGAACGUUGAAACGCACAUGGAACGGGGAGGUUGAAUGAACUGUCGAGGGCUUUCUGAAGUUCACCCAGAACCCAAAUUCUUUCAGAUCAUUCUGGCUUUAAAGGCACAGAGAUCCAGUUUUGUUCAGCUUCAAUUGUAAGUGUAUCCCUCAUUUUAACAGAAGAUUUAUAACAUAUACUGGUGAGUUUAAGUGUCUAAAAUUAGGAGUUUCUUCAUAUUAUAGUGCCAAAGUUAUAGAAAUAUUGUCAAACUGGUCAUGAAUGACGUAGUGUUUUAAAAUGAAUCUGGCUUUGUAACAAGUGUGGCAUUGUCAGACUAUUUACAAUAUCUUUCAAAUUAAAUGGCACACUUCUGAGCAAUACAGUCUGUUAACAGUUAAAACUUUAAUAGAGUCUACGAGGCAAACUACCACAAAUACACACACACUCACACAUCUCUGCAUCGACACAUUUGUGUCAUAUUAAUCCACCUGCAGAGGCUGUUAAAGUCUGCUGUGUUGCCUUUACCCAUUCCCUUCAUGUGUGACUCAUCUCAUGACCUGAGGCAGAGAACAAGAGAGCCAGUGUUGGCCAACAUCUCACUGGGUUAAGCAGAGAAGCAUACAAGUAUACAGGCCUCUCCUCCAGCCAUGUGGAGAGAAAAGAUCCUUUCCCUUCAGUGAUAGCCAGCCAAAGCAAACACAGCAAAUGAAUAGAAAAGGAGGAAUGCACUGAGCACGCAUUCUUAGGUUAAGCCAGAGGAUGUUGAAUUAUCUUAUUAACAUCUUAUAUCAUGUCUCCGGUUUUCCUAAUCGCUAAAUACCUCCUUUUUAGCAUCUGAUCUUUAUCUGAUAAAACCUGUUUGGGAAAAGUCUAGCAGUGUUGCCUGUAUUUGAUCCAUGUUUUGCUGU
Molecule: long non-coding RNA, 1080 nt
Organism: Misgurnus anguillicaudatus (oriental weatherfish)
Lineage: Eukaryota; Metazoa; Chordata; Actinopteri; Cypriniformes; Cobitidae
Source: RefSeq, a predicted model, not a curated record